RNAcentral lists this transfer RNA (77 nucleotides) under Clostridium sp. AM58-1XD. RNAcentral describes it as "tRNA-Arg". It matches the Rfam family "tRNA". Rfam says of the family: Transfer RNA (tRNA) molecules are approximately 80 nucleotides in length. Their secondary structure includes four short double-helical elements and three loops (D, anti-codon, and T loops). Further hydrogen bonds mediate the characteristic L-shaped molecular structure. tRNAs have two regions of fundamental functional importance: the anti-codon, which is responsible for specific mRNA codon recognition, and the 3' end, to which the tRNAs corresponding amino acid is attached (by aminoacyl-tRNA synthetases). tRNAs cope with the degeneracy of the genetic code in two manners: having more than one tRNA (with a specific anti-codon) for a particular amino acid; and 'wobble' base-pairing, i.e. permitting non-standard base-pairing at the 3rd anti-codon position. Lineage: Bacteria; Bacillati; Bacillota; Clostridia; Eubacteriales; Clostridiaceae. The record is from RNAcentral.
GUGCAUGUAGCUCAGCUGGAUAGAGCGUCUGACUACGGAUCAGAAGGCCGGGAGUUCGAAUCUUCUCAUGCACGCUA